Non-coding RNA from Chrysemys picta bellii (western painted turtle), 1301 nucleotides. NCBI's taxonomy places the organism in Eukaryota, Metazoa, Chordata, Testudines, Emydidae. The record is from RefSeq and is a predicted model, not a curated record.
CGCUGCUAGGAGCGGCAGCGCGCGUGGCCUCCCCGGCCGAGCUCAGCCGCCGCGAGCAAGGAGCGCCAGGGGGGAGAAGUUCUGCGGCAACUUUGCUCGUCUCCUAUUGGAAAGGGGAGGUGAGCAGACGUGGGGGCGGAGCGGGAUUUCCGUCGCACGGGGGUAAUGCCGGGUUCUCCAGAGAGGCCUCUGGGGUCACAGGCGGGGCAGAGCCCGAGCUGCGCAGGCUGGGGGUGGAGCUCUGUGCCAGCCUGCUGCCGCCGGGGGAAGCCCUGCGCCGGGCUGGCCGGGAGCCAGGCCGCAGCGGCAGGAGGCUCCUCCGUGCCCGGCCCCCACUGUGCGUGCGGGGAGCGCGCCUGACCCAGCCAUUGUUUCCUAUCUCCGCACCGGCGUCAGUGGAAAAUCUCCCCACCUGCCGCGCCUGGGUCGGGCUAUUUAUCCGGCAGCGCUGCCGUCACGGAGAGCGGCGCUGCUGACGGGGGAGCUGACGCUCUUGUCCGCUACCGCCGGGCUUGUGGCGGCUACAGUGGGGCUCUGGGUGGCGCUGGGAACGGGGCGCGGACCCCGCCGCAGCCCCCGCUUUCGCCUCCUCCUGGCCCCGGCUGCGGCAAGUGGGGGCCGGGCGCUGCUGCUAGCGCCGCCCCCGGGACGCGCCUGGCCUUGUCCUGCCUCCCCUCCUCUGGCGGCGCCCGGGCUGAGCCUGGGGAGCGCGGCUGGGGCACGGCGCGGAUGGGAGGGACGCGCGGCGGACAGCGCAGGCAAGAGAGGAGCCAGACUUGAUUGCAGCAGAAAACUCAAUUUGAAGACACACAGCAAUUCUCAGAAGUCGCAUUCUCUCAAGAAUUCAAUAUAUGGGACAAAUUUUUAUUAUGAAACUACUGCCAAAGUCAAGCUACCUCUCUUUGCUCCUAACUCCAAGUGUAGUACAUCACUACACCGUUUAAAGUGAUUGUUAUGUUGCCUUUUAAAACAGAUUCCUAAAGUGGUUUUAAUGAAAAGGUAGUGCUCUUACUUUCACUCUAUGUAACUUUACUCCGUGAAUUAAGUUUUUGCUUUUUUCAGAAUUCUGUUCCUGUCAUUGAUCCCACUGAAGUCACUGAGAGUUUUACCAUUGACAUCAAUAGGGUAAUGCAUAUACAGUGUUUCAUACGUUUUUGAGAUGAGGGAAAAUACUAUUUCAUGCAAACCUUUAUUAACCAUUUAAUUAAAAGUUCCCUGGUUAAGGUUUAAUUUCUAAAUUGUGAUGUAUUUUAAAUGUAUAUACAGAUAGUGUAAUAUAUACAAUAAAAUAUUAUAAUUGA